This 62-nucleotide transfer RNA is filed under the name Pandalus borealis (northern shrimp). Its description in RNAcentral is "tRNA-Arg". The record is from RNAcentral. Lineage: Eukaryota; Metazoa; Arthropoda; Malacostraca; Decapoda; Pandalidae.
AAUCAGGAAGCGAAUUUUGCAUUUAGUUUCGACCUAAACUUUGGUGGGCACACCCUUGACUA